AUUCCUCCCCCCACGCACCCGUCACACCUCCCUCCUCCAUUCCCAUUUCUUCCACCUCCCUCAGAUCUCCGCGCCUCCCCCAAUGACAUGAUCACCGCCACGACGGCGACCACCAUCGCGUAGCCCGCUCACCAUGGCGACCCCCACGGCGCCAUUAGGCGGCGCGUCCCCGUCGGGCCGCGUCCUGGGCCCCGCGCUGGACCGGAUCAUCAAAAACGCCGCGUGGCGGAAGCACUCGGCGCUCGUGGCAGCGGCGAAGGCCGCGCUCGACCUCCUCUCCUCAUCGCCGGCCUACCCGUCGCCGGACCCUACCUCGCCGAAAUCCUCGCCGCUGCUCGGCCUGGCCCCCGCCGCCGCCGACGCGGCCCUCCACGCGCUGCUGCUCGCGCUCGAGUCCGCCUCGCCCAAGGUCGCCGACCCCGCGCUCGAUUGCGUCGCCAAGCUCCUCUACCACCGCCUCCUCUUCGGCGACCUCGGUUGCGCCGGCGGCGGCGACGAUGCCUCUUCCCCCUCCUCCCGCCUCCUCAACGCCGUCCUCGCGUGUGGCGCGCUCUCCGAUGACGCAAUGGAGCUCGCCACCCUCCGCGUCGUUGUUGCCGCCGCACGGUGCCCCACCGUCGCCAUCCGCGGGGAGGGCCUCGGCCAGGUCCUCAAGACCUGCUACAACAUAUACCUCAGCAGCAGCAGCGGCGCCAAUCAGCUCUGCGCGAAGCUUGCGCUUGCGCAGGUGCUGGUCAUUGUGUUUGCGCGCGUGGAGGUGGACACCAUGGACAUGCGCGUGCGGACGGUGUCGAUCACAGAUAUGAUGGACAUGUCUGACCGCAGCCUGAACGACUCCAGCAUCGUGCAGGUGGCUCAGGGGUUUAUAAAUGAGGCUAUGGAGGGUAGUGAUGUCCCAGAGCCAGGGUCACCUGUGGAGCCAAUUGAGGUGGACGGGAAGGAGGAUGAUGGGAUGAGCAAGAUCAGGGAGGAUGGGCUAGCACUCUUCAAGAACCUGUGCAAGCUGUCAAUGAAGUUCUCGACGCCAGAUAACCCUGAGGAUCAGAUGUUGCUGCGGGGCAAGGUGUUGUCUCUUGAGUUGCUGAAAAUGGUUGUUGACAAUGCCGGCCCUUUCUGGAGAACAAACGAAAAGUACCUUGGAGCAAUCAAGCAAUAUCUUUGUUUGUCCUUGUUGAAGAACAGUGCUUUGUCCUCAAUGAGUAUUUUUCAGCUGUUGUGCUCCAUAUUUGUGGGCUUGUUAUCAAGGUUUAGAUCUGGGCUGAAAGAGGAAAUUGGAAUAUUUUUUCCAAUGCUUGUCCUAAGGGUUCUUGAGAAUGUCCAUCAACCUAGCUUUCUGCAAAAAAUGACAGUUCUAAACUUGUUGGAGAAGAUCUGUAAAGAAUCCCAGGUUCUUAUCGAUAUCUUUGUGAACUACGAUUGCGAUGUAGAUGCACCAAAUAUUUUUGAAAGGGCUGUCAAUGGACUUCUAAAAACUGCUUUAGGUGUUCCUCCAGGAUCUACAACAACAUUAACUACAGCACAAGACCAAACGUUUCGGAUUGAGUCAGUCAAGUGCCUUGCAACCAUAAUCAAAUCAAUGGGUUCAUGGAUGGACCAACAGCUGAGAAUUGGUGCAUUUUCACCAAAAAUUUCUGAAGCUUCUUUAAGUUCAGUGAGUUCAAUGAGUUCAAUAGACAUUCCUAACAUCCUUAUUGGAGAAGAUGGGAGUGGAAUUGAUUAUGAACUGCAAUCUGACUCUGGUAGCCCAGACGUAUCUGGUGCUCCCUCCCUUGAGCAACGUCGUGCUUUUAAAAUAGAACUUCAGAAAGGAAUUUCCUUGUUUAACAGAAAACCUUCCAAGGGUAUUGAUUUUCUCAUUAAAAGCAAGAAGAUAGGGCAUUCGCCAGAAGAUGUUGCUUCUUUCUUGAGAAAUACUGCUGGUUUAAAUGCGACAAUGAUUGGAGACUAUUUGGGCGAAAGAGAUGAAUUCCCUAUCAAAGUUAUGCAUGCAUAUGUUGAUGCACUGAACUUCGAAGGUAUGGACUUUGGUGAAGCCAUUAGGUAUUAUUUGCGAGGCUUCAGGCUGCCUGGGGAAGCACAGAAAAUUGAUAGGAUCAUGGAAAAGUUUGCUGAACGAUACUGCAAAUGCAAUCCAGACUCCUUUACCAGUGCAGAUACCGCAUAUGUUCUUGCAUAUUCUGUAAUCAUGCUCAACACUGAUGCUCACAAUACUAUGGUCAAGGAUAAGAUGUCCAAGACUGAUUUCAUUCGCAAUAACCGAGGCAUAGAUGAUGGAAAGGACUUGCCGGAAGCUUAUCUGGGUACACUAUAUGACCAAAUUGUCAAAAACGAGAUCAAAAUGAGUGCUGAUUCAUCAGUCCCACAAAACAAGCAAACUAGUACUGUGAUGAAGCUAUUAGGUUUGGACAAUAUUAUGAGCUUUGUUAACUGGAAACAGGCUGAGGAUAGGGCAGUUGGAGCAAAUGACUUGCUCAUCAAGAACAUACAAGAGAAAUUUAAAUUAAAGAGUGGAAAGUCAGAGUCUGUGUUUUCAGUUAUUACUGACACGACAAUUUUAAGAUACAUGAUGGAGGUUUGUUGGGCCCCAAUGAUGGCCGCAUUCAGUGUGACACUUGACCAGAGCGAUGAUAAGGCAGCCACGUCGCAAUGUUUGCAGGGAUUCAGAUCCGCUGUGCAUGUUACCUCUGUUAUGUGCAUGCAGACGCAGAGAGAUGCCUUUGUGACAUCUGUAGCCAAAUUUACAUAUCUCCAUUGUGCCGCUGACAUGAAACAAAAGAAUGUGGAUGCUGUGAAGGCUAUAAUAUCCAUUGCAAUCGAAGAUGGUGAUUAUUUGCAGGAAGCUUGGGAGCAUAUAUUGACAUGCCUUUCUCGGUUUGAGCAUUUACAUCUUCUUGGAGAGGGAGCACCUACUGAUGCUUCAUUUCUCACAGUACCACUGGUUGAUUCAGAAGAAAAAACACAAAAGUCUGCCUCUAUGUUGUCAAAGAGAACUAAUGCACUUCAGAAUCCAGCUGUAAUGGCUGCUGUUAGAGGGGGUUCUUAUGAUAGCACAACAGCAAAAAACAAAGCAUCGCCAUUGGUUACUCCUGAACAGAUUAAUAAUUUCAUAUCAAACAUAAACCUGCUAGACCAGAUUGGCAUUUUUGAGUUAAAUCACAUAUUUGCUCAUAGCCCAAGACUAAAUAGUGAUGCUAUUGUUUCUUUUGUGAAAGCUCUUUGCAAAGUUUCAAUGACAGAGUUGCAAUCUCCUACAGAUCCUCGUAUCUUCUGCCUAACGAAGAUUGUUGAGAUUGCGCAUUACAAUAUGAACCGCAUACGUUUGGUUUGGUCCCGUAUUUGGAAAGUUCUGUCAGACUUUUUUGUUUCUGUUGGGCUCUCGGAGAAUCUUUCAGUCGCAGUAUUUGUUAUGGACUCUUUGAGGCAGCUUGCCAUGAAGUUUCUGGAAAGAGAAGAACUGGCAAAUUAUAACUUCCAGAAUGAAUUCCUGCAACCUUUUGCGGUGGUUAUGCAGAAGAGCAGUGCUUCAGAAGUACGCGAACUUGUAGUUCGAUGUGUCUCCCAAAUGGUUCUGAGUCGUGUCAACAAUAUAAAAUCUGGAUGGAAAAGUGUUUUUACGGUUUUUACUGCAGCAGCUGCUGAUGAUCGAAAAAGUAUUGUUCUGUUGGCAUUUGAAACUAUGGAAAAGAUUGUUAGGGAUUAUUUCCCUUACAUAACUGAAACUGAAACCACAACAUUUACUGAUUGUGUUAAAUGCCUCAUUACAUUCACAAGUAGUAAAUUUAGCAGUGAUGCCAGUCUCAAUGCUAUUGCAUUUCUUCGGUUCUGUGCUGUCAAACUCGCGGAGGAAGGAUUUAUUUGCCAUGACAAGGAUGCUGACCAGCAACCAAAUAAUUUAGAUUCUUCAGAUGGGAACAUCACAGUGCAUAAGGAUGAUCAUGUUUACUUCUGGGUUCCUUUGCUUGCUGGUCUUGCUAGAUUGACAACUGACUCAAGACCAACUAUCAGAAAAGGUGCUGUGGAAGUGCUCUUCGACAUUUUGAAAGAUCAUGGGCACCUCUUUUCUCAGUCCUUCUGGGCUAAUAUCUUCGAAUCAGUUAUUUAUCCCCUAUUUAGUAGUGAAAGCUUUGCACCAAAUGGUCAGAUUUCAAGUGUAAAUAGUACCGAGGAUGAUUCUUGGAAUUUCGAAACUAAAAUGGUGGCUCUAAGAUGUUUAGCAGAUUUGUAUAUUACCUUUUUUGAAGUGAUGCGGCUAGAACUUUCUAGAGUUACUUCUGUUAUUACAAAUUUCAUCAGAAGCCCAUAUAAACAGUCAGCUAGCACAAGCAUAUCAGUUUUCCAGUGUUUAACAGAAGGACUUGCAAGCAAGCUCUCCAAUGAUGAGUGGGAGAAGAUUUUGCUGUGUUUCAAAGAAUCAGCAGCACAUACAUUUGUUGUAUUCGACAAAAUAGUUAGGAUGAUGAAAGACAUUGAAAUUCCAGAUAGAAAUGAAUCUUACUCUGAAGCUGAACAAUAUUCAGAUCAUGACGUAUACAAUGAUGAUGAAGAGGAAGCUAAUAUGGAAACGGCAUCCUAUGCUAUUGUCAGAAUGAAGAAUCAUAUGGCUUUGCAACUCUUAAUUGUUCAGGGCAUCGUUAAAUUGUAUGAGGUGCACAAGAGCUUUCUGUGUGCUGAGCAUAUAGGCAUAAUGUUGCAGAUGCUAUCUGCCAUUUCAUCUCAUGCAAGUGAAGUGAACACUGAAUCUAACUUGCACAUAAAACUACAUAAAGCAUGUUUCCUUUUGGAGGUCUCUGAGCCAGCAGUCAUUCAUUUUGAGAGCGAGUCCUACCAGAGCUAUCUGAAGCUUCUGCAAGCUAUUCUUCAUGACAAUCCAUCUUUGUCAGAAAAUAUGAAUGUGAAUGUGGAGUCACAAAUUAUGCUUGUCUGUGACAAAAUAUUGCGAAUGUAUCUCACCUGUGCAGGGCAUGAACUAUCUAAUGAUGCUUCUGGUAGAGAUCCAGCUUUACACAGGUUGCCUCUGGGUACUUCUAAAAAGGAGGAACUGGAGGCUAGAACUUCGUUGGUCCUUCAUGUAAUGCGGUUAUUGGGCGGUUUAGAGAAGAAUUGCUUUAGGAGGAACUUGCCCAUGUUUUUCCCCUUAUUAGCUAAUCUUAUCCGCUGCCAGCAUAGCUCUGGAGAAGUUCAAGUUGCACUGUAUGAAAUAUUCCAAUCAUCAAUAGGCCCCAUAAUAUCAGCAUAGUAUAUAUUAUUUCCUCACAAGUUGUACAAUUUUGUCAGUUCAUUUUCAUAAGGUAGCUCAUUUGAUAGUGGUUACAUCAGAAUAUGGUAUUAGAAAAGGGUACAGAUUUACAGUAUUGUAAAUGACUUAUUGUUGUGGCCAAUCAGUCACCUGUCCUUCAGGAUUCUGGCGUUGAAGCUACAUGCAAUGUUGACCCAGAUGCCUGAAGAAGGAUUUUGAGGCGCAUUUGCCAUUCUUUUCUAACAUUCAUUUUAUUCCGAUGGCUAGUCAUCGACAUGUCAAAGCAUCUGAACAUUGGAACAAGGCUCCCUAAUUUCUGUCCUGCACCAACAGCUCUGAAAUUUUGCAAGAGGUGGUUUGCUUGCCACAGAGAGAUUUUGAGCUUACAGUUUUGGUGUAUUUUUUUUUCUCUCUCUUUUUUUUUAUAAUUUCUCUGUAUAGUGUCCUCUCCUGAACCGAGACUACAAUGGGGCGUAUGUCACAUGUUGCCUUUCCCCCUAAUCUGCCGAAUCUCUUGGAAUUACCAUAACUGUAUCUACACAGUAGUUAAUAUAUACUUUCAUUUUCAAUA
Panicum virgatum (switchgrass) is the source of this 5807-nucleotide RNA transcript. It is a transcript of the gene named brefeldin A-inhibited guanine nucleotide-exchange protein 1-like, with no coding region annotated. The transcript has 12 exons. The record is from RefSeq and is a predicted model, not a curated record. Lineage: Eukaryota; Viridiplantae; Streptophyta; Magnoliopsida; Poales; Poaceae.